Molecule: ribosomal RNA, 253 nt
Filed under: uncultured bacterium
Lineage: Bacteria
Description: partial 16S ribosomal RNA
Rfam family: Bacterial small subunit ribosomal RNA
Source: RNAcentral
UUCGUAGGGGGCAAGCGUUGUCCGGAAUUAUUGGGCGUAAAGAGCUCGUAGGCGGUCUGUCACGUCGGCUGUGAAAUCCCGAGGCUCAACCUCGGGCCUGCAGUCGAUACGGGCAAACUAGAGUAUUGCAGGGGAGACUGGAAUUCCUGGUGUAGCGGUGAAAUGCGCAGAUAUCAGGAGGAACACCGGUGGCGAAGGCGGGUCUCUGGGCAGUAACUGACGCUGAGGAGCGAAAGCGUGGGGAGCGAACAGG